CGUGCGCCAUCGCUUAAUUCCGGAGCACCCCGCCGGGUGCCCGGGAGCCGGGGAACCACCACCCCGCGUUCUACGCGGGGACCUGGGGUGCAUCGGGCCGUCAGGCCCGUAGGAGACCUUCCUGCUCCGAACCCGUCAGCUAACCCGGUCGGCGAGAGGGAAGGAAAGG
This 169-nucleotide small RNA is filed under the name Wenjunlia vitaminophila. Its description in RNAcentral is "Streptomyces vitaminophilus c-di-AMP sequence". It matches the Rfam family "c-di-AMP riboswitch aptamer (ydaO/yuaA leader)". From Rfam's summary of the family: This family represents a conserved RNA structure found upstream of the ydaO and yuaA genes in Bacillus subtilis and related genes in other bacteria. Lineage: Bacteria; Bacillati; Actinomycetota; Actinomycetes; Kitasatosporales; Streptomycetaceae. The record is from Rfam by way of RNAcentral.